UUACCGAGUGAGGGCCCUCUGGGUCCAACCUCCCACCCGUGUUUAUUUUACCUUGUUGCUUCGGCGGGCCCGCCUUAACUGGCCGCCGGGGGGCUUACGCCCCCGGGCCCGCGCCCGCCGAAGACACCCUCGAACUCUGUCUGAAGAUUGUAGUCUGAGUGAAAAUAUAAAUUAUUUAAAACUUUCAACAACGGAUCUCUUGGUUCCGGCAUCGAUGAAGAACGCAGCGAAAUGCGAUACGUAAUGUGAAUUGCAAAUUCAGUGAAUCAUCGAGUCUUUGAACGCACAUUGCGCCCCCUGGUAUUCCGGGGGGCAUGCCUGUCCGAGCGUCAUUGCUGCCCUCAAGCACGGCUUGUGUGUUGGGCCCCGUCCUCCGAUCCCGGGGGACGGGCCCGAAAGGCAGCGGCGGCACCGCGUCCGGUCCUCGAGCGUAUGGGGCUUUGUCACCCGCUCUGUAGGCCCGGCCGGCGCUUGCCGAUCAACCCAAAUUUUUAUCCAGGUUGACCUCGGAUCAGGUAGGGAUACCCGCUGAACUUAAGCAUAUCAAUAAGCGGAGGAA
Molecule: ribosomal RNA, 559 nt
Filed under: Penicillium chrysogenum
Lineage: Eukaryota; Fungi; Ascomycota; Eurotiomycetes; Eurotiales; Aspergillaceae
Also listed under: 1 other name
Description: eukaryotic LSU rRNA
Rfam family: 5.8S ribosomal RNA (bases 180-332)
Source: RNAcentral